CCUACGGGGGGCUGCAGUGGGGAAUAUUGGACAAUGGGGGGAACCCUGAUCCAGCCAUGCCGCGUGUGUGAAGAAGGCCCUCGGGUUGUAAAGCACUUUCAGUGAGGAAGAACGCCUGGUGGUUAAUACCCAUCAGGAAAGACAUCACUCACAGAAGAAGCGCCGGCUAACUCCGUGCCAGCAGCCGCGGUAAUACGGAGGGUGCGAGCGUUAAUCGGAAUUACUGGGCGUAAAGCGCGCGUAGGUGGCUUGAUAAGCCGGUUGUGAAAGCCCCGGGCUCAACCUGGGAACGGCAUCCGGAACUGUCAAGCUAGAGUGCAGGAGAGGAAGGUAGAAUUCCCGGUGUAGCGGUGAAAUGCGUAGAGAUCGGGAGGAAUACCAGUGGCGAAGGCGGCCUUCUGGACUGACACUGACACUGAGGUGCGAAAGCGUGGGUAGCAAACAGGAUUAGAUACCCGAGUAGUC
This 465-nucleotide ribosomal RNA is filed under the name Vreelandella stevensii. Its description in RNAcentral is "partial 16S ribosomal RNA". It matches the Rfam family "Bacterial small subunit ribosomal RNA", at positions 338 to 795 of the family's 1533-position model. Lineage: Bacteria; Pseudomonadati; Pseudomonadota; Gammaproteobacteria; Oceanospirillales; Halomonadaceae. The record is from RNAcentral.